Ornithodoros turicata is the source of this 250-nucleotide long non-coding RNA. RefSeq lists it as uncharacterized. The record is from RefSeq and is a predicted model, not a curated record. The transcript has 3 exons. Lineage: Eukaryota; Metazoa; Arthropoda; Arachnida; Ixodida; Argasidae.
UUCCAACAGGACUAGAAGACGGUUGGUCGCAGCUCGGCUUCAUAUGACUCUCAGGAAGUGUGCUGUUCAACUGUGUAUUACUUAUCGGAGCUGAAAGCACUCAACGAAAGCCUGGACGGAAACUGUCGAAAUUUAAUAGGUUUUUCCGGAUACGCAGGCAACUUUCCCGAACGAUUGGAUUUUGUUCUAGGUCAUCUCCAAAUGAGGUUGAAGGACUUCGCCUGUCAUACACAUGGCUCGCAUGAUGCGG